UGGGUGAUGGAUCUGGAUUCUGACGGAUAAGAAGGACAUUCCUCCAAGUGAGUAAGGUCCAAAGUUCUCAGUGCAGGAAGCAUCAGCUUGGGACAGGCCCUGUGCUGCGUGCUAAGGAUGAAGAACCAAAGAGCUUAUCCUACCGGCAAGAUGUCUGUCUCAGUGAGCAAAACACUUUGCUUCAUGAACCUGGUGAGCCCCCAGAAAGGUGCACCGCAAGUGCCUGCUCUUCUGACCUACAAUGCUCCUUCCUUUGCUGUGUCGGCUGGUCUUCCAUCAGGAUGGAAAGCUGUUGAUGGCCAUGGUGGAGGGAGUGAAAGCAUGGCGAGAGAGGGGUGUGGCUAACAGGUUGUGCACUUGCUACCUGCCCUGGAGGACCUCCGACACAAGAGCAGAAAACAGAUACAUCUUUUGCAGUCCUGAGAGAAAAGAGCCUCUUUGGAAUCCUCUGGGGAGCUUCCUCAAGGGCAAACUAGAAUUCCCAUGAUAUAGCCCUGCAAAUACCUGCCUAUCAUGUCUCUCUCCCACGCCUUCCUGUUUCCCUAACAAUACUCUGAACCAUUUUUCUUAAAAGAGAAACCAUUC
Molecule: long non-coding RNA, 585 nt
Organism: Mus musculus (house mouse)
Lineage: Eukaryota; Metazoa; Chordata; Mammalia; Rodentia; Muridae
Product: predicted gene, 30611
Exons: 3
Source: RefSeq, a predicted model, not a curated record